GACGAACGCUGGCGGCGUGCUUAACACAUGCAAGUCGAACGGAAAGGCCCCUUCGGGGGUACUCGAGUGGCGAACGGGUGAGUAACACGUGAGUAACCUGCCCUUGACUUCGGGAUAACUUCAGGAAACUGGGGCUAAUACCGGAUAGGAAUCCUUGCUGCAUGGUGGGGGUUGGAAAGCUUCGGCGGUUUUGGAUGGACUCGCGGCCUAUCAGCUUGUUGGUGGGGUAGUGGCUUACCAAGGCCUUGACGGGUAGCCGGCCUGAGAGGGCGACCGGCCACAUUGGGACUGAGAUACGGCCCAGACUCCUACGGGAGGCAGCAGUGGGGAAUAUUGCACAAUGGGCGGAAGCCUGAUGCAGCAACGCCGCGUGCGGGAUGACGGCCUUCGGGUUGUAAACCGCUUUCAGCAGGGGCGAAGCUUGUGGUGACGGUACCUGCAGAAGAAGCACCGGCUAACUACGUG
This 465-nucleotide ribosomal RNA is filed under the name uncultured bacterium. RNAcentral's name for it is "partial 16S ribosomal RNA". It matches the Rfam family "Bacterial small subunit ribosomal RNA", at positions 28 to 507 of the family's 1533-position model. The record is from RNAcentral.